Long non-coding RNA from Sebastes umbrosus (honeycomb rockfish), 4220 nucleotides. RefSeq lists it as uncharacterized. NCBI's taxonomy places the organism in Eukaryota, Metazoa, Chordata, Actinopteri, Perciformes, Sebastidae. The transcript has 4 exons. The record is from RefSeq and is a predicted model, not a curated record.
CGGAUCACCCGAUUCAACUGCUAUCAGCUCAUUAAAUGUGCGUUAUCAGCCGUUAUAAGCCUCAUAGAUGUGGGCCAGUAAGGGUCUCUGUGACGUCAACCAUAGGUUUCUGAAGAGCGGUUGUGAAGCUCAAAGUGGGUAGCUCCGACCAUCGCCAUCUUGUCAGUGACGACACAACCUGACUCCAAAAAUGGGCAAAGAGGGGGAUCGUCGGAGGAGCUGAGGCGGCCCGGGUGACGCAGCAGAGCAGGCAGCUAAAAGCUAAUUUUAAGCCUUAAUAUAAUUUAAAUUGGGGAUUUUGUUUUAAAAUUCACUACCCGUAAAGUUGUCAUGAACAGGGAAAUUAGCUACAGUAUAGAGACCAAAACCGUUUUUUGUACCAGGCUGUAAACAUGUUUAUUUCUGCUGUAAAAUUGGGAAUUUUUUAAUGGGGAUUAACUCAGGUGGCCAUUUGAGGAACUGUUUUUAGCACUUCCCGGUUGGCUUCAUUUCUCAGCACUGGAGGUUACCGCUUGGUUCUAAGAUGUUGUAAAACUGAAUGAAACGUUGAACGUGAAAGUGAAAUUUAAUGCUUUUGAACGGCUUUUGCUCCUGCCAUAAUUACUACAAGAUGUCGCUGUCGUCUCCUUUUAUUCUUUCAUUCAGUGAUCGUCCAUGUCCUAGUGGGUGUAGCAGGCCCCCUCUGACCCACAUCUAACAUCUAACGCCCAUUUAAUUACCUGAUAAGUCUAACCGGCUGAAGAGACAAACCAAACACUGGCUUCGCGUUUUUACGUUACCUGAUCGCCACCGUAGUUCUCCGACACACUUGUGAAACUGCAGUAACGUGAGCAGCAGAGAGCGAAUGGCGUUACCGCGGUUUUGCACUCUGCAGUUCACGUUAUCGCACUCUUAUAAAGGGAGGCGGUUGCAAUCUGCAACCAGACCACUAGAUGCCGUCAAAUCUUACACACUGUACCUUUAAAUUUCUAAAUCAAUAUGGAAUAAUCUAUCAUGACAGUGGCUAAUGUUGCUUUAAAACAACCUAAAGAAGUUUAGAGACAAUACAAAACCCGUUAAAAUACCCAUAAAUAUCAAUAUUAAAGUACAACCUGUGGUCAGAUGAAGCUGAACAUUGGAUUAUUUGUCCACUCAUUUGGUGCAUUUUACUAACAUGAUGAUUUCUACCAGUUCAUUGCCGCUAACAUGCAAACAAUGUCAAAUGCAGCUCGAGCUUCAGCUGAGAGAUUUUAAUUAACCUGAUUAUAAAUAAAUUGCUGCAAAGUGGAGGAUGUCACAAGUGACUGGAUGUCAACAUGUUCUCCUAUUAAUUAUUCUCAUCAUGUUUGCCUAUUUCCCCCAGUAUGUGCGAUGACAUGUAGGCGUGAUUGUUGUCUCAAGCUUUCCUUUAAAACCAUUCUAGGCGGUAUUUAGGUGUUAGGAACUACAGAUAAUGUGCACCAGGUGUUUCAGCUGAUUGGUCAGUAGUGACAAUUAGCCUGCUGAUCUGUAGAUCGGGUUGUCAGCAUAAACAGUGGAAGGCUAGGAAGGCUAGUGGACUAACAACAUUCAUCACAGCUGUAAAUUAUACAGCUUCUUAUCAAACACUUUGCUGUCAUUAACCUCUAUCAUUGUCCUUGCACUCACUGCAGCCAAGUAACAUCUCUCCUUCUCUGCUGCUGUGUUGAACACUUCCUCUUUUGCUUCAAUUCGCGCACAGAAGCAUGAACUCCCAGCUGGUGCGACCACACCUUAACUUCUCCUGGGGGUGUUUUUAAAGUAUGAAAGCAGACAGGCCUCUUGUCAUUGGAAUAACUUUAUACUAAGUCCCUGAAUUGAUGUAAAUGCUGAAUCGUGGGAUUCAGUGCUGUUAUUCGUUUAAUAUGUUGUUUCACCCAAAUUACUAAAAACCAAUUGGUGUCUAGUCGAGCAGAUAGUUGUGGUUUUAUUUGCACAGGUUUUGAGAUACUGUAUGUGCCCUUGAGACGGUAAAAUAAAUUUCAUAUGGCAUUAAAAAUGGCAUUUAAUAAAAAUCAACAGCAGUGUUUCUUUUCAGACACAACAUGCAGCAACAUUCUCCUGAAUUUAUCUCAUAUUUUCUCUUAAUUUUCUGUUAAGAGAAAAAAUAAAUCAACUCCAGAUGCACCAAACAUUUUUAACAAUCCCAAUCCGCUUUUACCCAGGAGUGCUGAAUAAUGAAUCCCACCUGAUCAUAAAUUGGAGGCGUGUGGCCAAAUGUUUAUUAUUAUCAUAGGUAACGCCCCCUUAACACUCUAAGGGCAGGUAUUGGCAUGAGUAACGCCCCCAAAACGCUAUAAGGGCAGAUAUUGACAUAGGUACCGCCCCUUAAACACUAUAAGGGCAGAUAUUGACAUAGGUAACGCCCCCUAAACACUAUAAGGGCAGAUAUUGACAUAGAUACCGCCCCCUAAACGCUAUAAGGGCAGAUAUUGACAUAGAUACCGCCCCCUAAACGCUAUAAGGGCAGAUAUCGACAUAGAUACCGCCCCCUAAACGCUAUAAGGGCAGAUAUCGGCAAAGGUACCGCCCCCUAAACGCUAUAAGGGCAGAUAUCGUCAUAGGUACCGCCCCCUAAACGCUAUAAGGGCAGAUAUCGUCAUAGGUACCGCCCCCUAAACGCUAUAAGGGCAGAUAUCGUCAUAGGUACCGCCCCCUAAACGCUAUAAGGGCAGAUAUCGUCAUAGGUACCGCCCCCUAAACGCUAUAAGGGCAGAUAUUGGCAUAGGUACCGCCCCCUAAACGCUAUAAGGGCAGAUAUUGGCAUAGGUACCGCCCCCUAAACGCUAUAAGGGCAGAUAUCGUCAUAGGUACCGCCCCCUAAACGCUAUAAGGGCAGAUAUUGGCAUAGGUAACGCCCCCUAAACACUAUAAGGGCAGAUAUUGGCAUAGGUACCGCCUCCUAAACACUAUAAGGGCAGAUAUUGGCAUAGGUACCGCCUCCUAAACGUUAUAAGAGCAGAUACUGGCAUAAGUACCGCCUCCUAAACGUUAUAAGAGCAGAUACUGGCAUAAGUACCGCCUCCUAAACGUUAUAAGAGCAGAUAUUGGCAUAGGUACCGCCUCCUAAACGUUAUAAGGGCAGAUACUGGCAUAAGUAACGCCCCCAAAACACUAUAAGGGCAGAUAUUGGCAUAGGUAAUGCCCCCCUUAAACGCUAUAAGGGCAGAUAUUGGCAAAGUUACCGCCCCAUAAACGCCAUAAGGGCAGAUUUUGGCAUAGGUACCGCCCCCAUUGUCUUUAUUGCUCUGGGAAAUCUACGCAUUUUAUUUGACCUUGGGUAGAUAAUGGUUCCCAUGAAAACUGUGGGUUACUAACCUGAAUUAUGGUGUUGUUUAUAUGUAAUUGAUCAUGGAACUCUAUUUAUUUCUUGUCCCUUAUUAGCACAAAACCUGGGCAAAUAAAACCAAACCACCUGGAGUAAGCAAGAAAAUACUGUUUUGUGAUUUGAUGAACUGACCCUUUAAAUAGAUUAUUAAUUAAAUGUGAAGGACAGGUUGCCUUGCACAAUUUCAUAAACACAACAAUCAAACCUGGCAGUGCUGCCUGAAAAAAGAAAUCCCUAAAAAUAAAAUGUCUGUCCUGCAGCUCAUUCAAAAUAAAUGUCUGGUGAAUGAUGAUAAUGUGUAAUAUUUAGCACUAUUUUUGUAUCCAAAAACAUGUCUAAGGGAAAUGGCUCUGCUACAUGUUUAUCUUUUUUGCUGGUAGCCUGUUAUUUAAAAAGCAGUAUGGUGAUGUGUCAAAUAUUUUGCAAAAAGACUAAAAAAAGAAAAUCAUUGCUUUUAACUGUUGUGAUUUAUCUGGGUCACUUUAAAAACUCACUUUUAGUUUGCCCUGUAAAUAGUCAUGUUUAUUUCAAACAGACUGAAAGAGACAUUUUAUUAAGUUUAAAAUAAUGCUGAAAUAAUGUACUGACAGUUUGUUGGAGUCGUUGCAGGUUUUAACCAGAAUCGUAGUGUCACUGACAACUGUUGUAUAGAAAUGUACAUUUUUUUGUAAAGAUAUUUUUAUCAAAAGGCAUGUUUACUGUAACUUUGUAUUUUCAGUUCAUGUAUAAAAACGUUAUAUUCCAACUGUUGUAAGGCUACAAAACUCAUCGUCAUUGUAGAUAACUAUUUGUGUUCUUUAUCAGUCAAUAAAAUGUUUGUGUCCUAUAUUUAACUAGUCAAAUGUUUCAAUGAUCAACGCUUUAUUUUACAAAUAAAUAUGAACUGAAGGACAAA